CGAUCGAAUCUUUCUAGUUUCUCCAGUCACUGAUUAUGGAAGGCCGGAAGGGAAGGCAGAUUAACAGUUUUUCUUUUCAGGUUUUUGGUGUUUGGAAAUUGGAAUUGGUUUGUAAAUUGUAAUGGGUUUAUCUUCUCAUUUUUCUGUUUUCAAAGUUUUGUAAUUAAUGGGACAGAGUAGUUGGCUGGGAAAUGGUAACUUGGGUCUUGG
RNAcentral lists this long non-coding RNA (210 nucleotides) under Olea europaea (common olive). RNAcentral's name for it is "long non-coding RNA (OEUR_LNC002808)". The record is from RNAcentral. Lineage: Eukaryota; Viridiplantae; Streptophyta; Magnoliopsida; Lamiales; Oleaceae.